GAGUUUGAUCCUGGCUCAGGAUGAACGCUAGCGGCACGCUUCAUACAUGCAAGUCGAGGGGCAGCAUAAAGUACUUGUACUUUGAUGGCGACCGGCGAACGGGUGCGUAACGCGUAUGCAACUUACCUUUUACUAGAGAAUAGCCAAGAGAAAUUUUGAUUAAUGCUCUAUACUCUUUUUAACUCACAUGAGAUUUUAAGAAAAGCUCCGGCGGUAAAAGAUGGGCAUGCGUCCUAUUAGCUUGUAGGUGAGGUAACGGCUCACCUAAGCUCCGAUAGGUAGGGGUCCUGAGAGGGAGAUCCCCCACACUGGUACUGAGACACGGACCAGACUUCUACGGAAGGCAGCAGUAAGGAAUAUUGGACAAUGGAGGAAGCUCUGAUCCAGCGAUGCCGCGUGAAGGAAGACGGCCCUAUGGGUUGUAAACUUCUUUUAUACAGGAAGAAACCUUUUCACGUGUGGAAAGCUGACGGUACUGUAAGAAUAAGGAUCGGCUAACUCCGUGCCAGCAGCCGCGGUAAUACGGAGGAUCCAAGCGUUAUCCGGAAUUAUUGGGUUUAAAGGGUCCGCAGGCUGUUUGUUAAGUCAGGGGUGAAAUCCUACCGCUCAACGGUAGAACUGCCUUUGAUACUGGCAAACUUGAGUUAUUGUGAAGUAGUUAGAAUGUGUAGUGUAGCGGUGAAAUGCAUAGAUAUUACACAGAAUACCAAUUGCGAAAGCAGAUUACUAACAAUUAACUGACGCUGAGGGACGAAAGCGUGGGUAGCGAACAGGAUUAGAUACCCUGGUAGUCCACGCCGUAAACGAUGGUCACUAGCUGUUCGAUGUACAUUGGUACAUUGAGUGGCUAAGCGAAAGUGAUAA
Molecule: ribosomal RNA, 864 nt
Filed under: uncultured bacterium
Lineage: Bacteria
Description: bacterial SSU rRNA
Rfam family: Bacterial small subunit ribosomal RNA
Source: RNAcentral